Molecule: transfer RNA, 74 nt
Filed under: Pelodiscus sinensis (Chinese soft-shelled turtle)
Lineage: Eukaryota; Metazoa; Chordata; Testudines; Trionychidae
Rfam family: tRNA
About the family: Transfer RNA (tRNA) molecules are approximately 80 nucleotides in length. Their secondary structure includes four short double-helical elements and three loops (D, anti-codon, and T loops).
Source: Rfam by way of RNAcentral
GGUACUAUGGUUCAGUUGGCAAAAGCACCUACCUCCUAAACAGGAGAUCGUGGGUUCAAGUCCCAGUGGUGCCU